GCACUUCUGAGGAGCCCCGCAAUAGGACGAAACGGCCGUCCAGUGC
Schistosoma mattheei is the source of this 46-nucleotide non-coding RNA. The record is from Rfam. Lineage: Eukaryota; Metazoa; Platyhelminthes; Trematoda; Strigeidida; Schistosomatidae.